UUGGGUUAAGUCCCGCAACGAGCGUAACCCUUGUUUUUAGUUGCCUUUCGAGGAUAUUUAGAAAGACUGCCGAUUAUAAAUCGGAGGAAGGUAAGGACGACGUCAAGUCAUCAUGCCCCUUAUGUCCAGGGCUUCACGCAUGCUACAAUGGCUGGUACAGAGAGUGGCGAGCCUGUGAGGGUGAGCGAAUCUCGGAAAGCCGGUCUCAGUUCGGAUUG
RNAcentral lists this ribosomal RNA (218 nucleotides) under Haptolina brevifila. Its description in RNAcentral is "partial Bacterial small subunit ribosomal RNA". It matches the Rfam family "Bacterial small subunit ribosomal RNA", at positions 1075 to 1300 of the family's 1533-position model. Lineage: Eukaryota; Haptophyta; Prymnesiales; Prymnesiaceae. The record is from RNAcentral.